This 2955-nucleotide long non-coding RNA is filed under the name Oryzias javanicus (javanese ricefish). RNAcentral's name for it is "lncRNA (ENSOJAG00000016128.1)". Lineage: Eukaryota; Metazoa; Chordata; Actinopteri; Beloniformes; Adrianichthyidae. The record is from RNAcentral.
AUGAGCCCGCCGCCGCCUCAGGAAAUGAACACGCCAGACAAGAGCGCAGACGAGGCGGACGCGACCCAGCAGGAACGAAAUGAAAGUCGAGGCAACAAGCCGGCGGAUGAACAAAGUAGUUCUGAGGAGACGAAACCAAUUCUGGAUUUUAAGAUCCGUCUGAAGAGGAGGAGAGGCCGCGUGUGGGAAAUGCAGGGCGAAAACAUGGCGCUGAAGGCGGAGAAAGGAGACGACGGGAUGCCGUGCGACCCCUUCAAAGCCAUCAUGGAUUCUGUCUCCAUUCUGAACAUGGAGAUGGAGGCCGCUCAGGCUCACGUGCACGCCAGCAAGAAGUCGCAGAACCGCUCGCAUCGCUCGAAAAAGAAAGCCGAGAAAAAACAAGCGUCCGUCCCAGCCGCUCCCCAAGUGGCAGCCAAGUCACCCGAACGCACCGCGCCGAAAGACGCCGUCAAGGAGACGCCGGCGGGAGUUCAGCAGCCUCCAGCAACAACAGAGAACCAAAAUGGCGGCGGUGUCGCAUCAGGGCGUGACACAAAAGUGGAGGAUCGUUUUCUGAACAACUGCUGCUUGUUUGAAAGCGGGUUGGAACCAAAGCUGGAGCCAAAGUUAGACGACCUUUCGCUACCUGUAAUCAAGUUACGGAGAAAAGUAGAGGAUAUCUGGGAGGUGGACAGCAAGGAUGACCUCCUGCCGCCGGACCGCAAAACAGAACUCUGCAUCAAGAGGGAGAUGAGGGGUCCGGGUCCAGACAAAAAGCCAAAAGGAUGCAGCGAUGCUUUCAAAGAAGAGGUUCCUCAGAAGCCGAACAGCGCCGCGGCCCCGCUGAAAACCGAGCCGCCCUCCUUCUCUCUGUCCCUGUCGCCGCUAUCGCUUUCGUCACCGGCCAGUGAAACUAGAACUGAAGUCCUGGCCUCAGCCGCGGACAGAACCGGCGACAGGUCAGAGGUGAACAGCGGAGGCAGGAAACCGAGGCACAAAAUGGAAAGACCGCGCCGGUGUGGGCCUGUGGAAGCUCCGCCCACCUGCCUGAGCCACACGCUCCAGCAAAUCGACAACAGCCUCUCCAAGCUUUCCGAAGGCUUGUGUUCGUCCCAGACGCUGGAGAAGCCGGCGGACGGCUCCUCCGAGUCCAACGCGCCGGUCCAGCCGGCCGCUCAGUCCCCCCUGUUCGCCGCCGCAGACAACAUGCUCUCCGCUGAGCCCAACUUCACCAACUGCUGCGAGGACAUCCUCGACUUUCAGUGUCUGAACUUCGAGGGCUACUACCAGCCGCAGAACAUUCUCCCGUCGUCUCCGUCGGACCUGUGCUCCCUCGAUCCACCCACCGACCCCUUCAGCAGCCCGCUCUCCCACAGCCCGUCCGACACGUGGACCACAGAAACGCCGUACCUCGGCCCGCCCAGUCCGGGAAACAACUUCACCAGUGAGGAUUUGCAGUUUUUCCCAGGCUUAAUAUCUUCUAAAGGCGAAUCUGGCGCUUUGGAUUGUGAAGCAAAAGACGCAGCCAAAGACAGAAAUCCUCUCAAUCCCUCUUUCGGCUUUGUGGGAAACUCCGACUUGACAAUGAAGGAUCGAAUCAUUAGCAAAAACCUCGCGAUGAGAGCCAGAGAAGACCUCAAAGCCCAGUCUGCGUCUGUCGCCGGCAAGCCUCGUUUGUUUGUUUCCGCCCCGUCUUCUGUUACCCCUCAAAACCCCGUUACCCUGACCCAACCAUCCGUCAGCAUCCGGCCGAGCACCAGCCAGUGCAAGAGCCAGUCCAACCUCAAAAGCCACGGCCCUUUCCAUCGCAUGACCAUUCCAGGAAAAUCCCAGUCGUUCCCGACCGCCCCGUCAAGCACGGCUCGAGCUUCAUCCCAAACGUCCAACAGAUUCCUCAGUCCUCAACUUUUGUCUGCGAAAAACCCCAAUCCUCACGAAAGUCCCUACAACUAUCAAGAGAAGUCCUCCACGGUCAUCCACAGGGUUCUGAAGUUUCAGGGAGGGAGCCAGACGCAGAACUUGUACAGCGCGCCCUGCAAAGACACUAUGGCUUCUGGAAACCCGGCAGUCACGACCAGGAUACACGGUGCAAAGCCGGGAGUCGCCGAGAAGCCCCAUGAGACCUACGGCGUGGGAGGUCAUCAGAAGAGCAGCAAUUCUCUUCACGGGUUCGGUUCUUCCAACAAUCAUAGCCGGUCCAACCUCCAUUCCAACAAAACCAGUUCUUCCAUUUCACAGCCUCUCAAUGCAAGGAAGAUGUCCUCUGACAAACAAGACGAAGUCAACAUGACGUACAAGAACUUCUCCGCCAUGCCAAGAUCCUUCGUGUUUCCCAGCAAAGUGUCGGACAGUUACGCCUCCCCGCAAGAGAAGAGUCUGAAGCUGGACAAACCCAGCAUGCCAACCUCCGACAAGAACCAGCCGUGUUACCCCCAACAAGACCCCUUCGACUUCAGCUUCGGGUCGUCGCUUUCAUCCAUGACUCAGCACAGCAGCCCCCAGGUGAUCCAGAGCACACCCCCUUCCACACCAGCACCAGCAAGCAAGAGCCAGUCCUCGGCGUCCUCAUCGUUCCCCUACAGCUACCAAGGUCCUCCGUACGUCCUGAACUUCAGCGGAGACCACUCGCUGACUCUGGGUCUCAGGGACGGGGCUGAAGGCUAUCCAGGCUUCGGCUCCACAAACUACACCUACCACUGCCUGAUGGAGCCUUCGGGCACUCAAGGGCGGCUGGUUCUGGAGCCGUGCGGGCCCCAGCUCUCCAACCCGGCCAACUUAGGGAUUUUUUCAGGUCUCAAGAGUCAAGACGACCACUGCAGGAAAGACCUGCAGCAGUGCCAGCCCGGAGAGAACCAGGCCGCGUCACACUACGGCCCCGUCCCAACGUCGCACUCCAUGGGCGCCACGAAACCUAAAAGAGUCCGGCUGGUGGUGACUGACGGUACGGUCGACCUUGACCUCCAGUACUCCGACUGA